GAUGAACGCUGACAGAAUGCUUAACACAUGCAAGUCUUUGGCAAAGCUGUGCUUGCUCCGCCUAGCCAAGGCGGACGGGUGAGUAACGCGUCAGGAACUUGCCCUGCAUUCAGGGCUAACAGACCUAAACGACUGAUAAGCCCUUGCAAGGUCAGGCGGACUCAUGUCUAGCCUGAUGAAAAGAGAUGCUUCAGGAGAGGCUUAGGUCCUGUUAGACUGUUGGUGGGGUAACGGCCCAACAAGGCGAUGAUAGGUAGCCGGCCUGAUAGGGUGGACGGCCACAAGGGGAAUGGGAGGCGGCCCUUACUCCUACGGGAGGCAGGAGUGAAGAAUAUUGGAGAAUGGGGGCAAGCCUGAUGCAGCAAUUCUGUGUGUACAAUGAAGGUUUUAGGAUUGAACAGUGGUGUCAGCAGGGAAGAACGAAAUGACGGUACCUGCAGAAGAAGCGACGGCUAACUACGUG
Molecule: ribosomal RNA, 463 nt
Filed under: uncultured bacterium
Lineage: Bacteria
Description: partial 16S ribosomal RNA
Rfam family: Bacterial small subunit ribosomal RNA
Source: RNAcentral